CCCCCUACGGGGCGCAGCAGUAGGGAAUCUUCCACAAUGGACGAAAGUCUGAUGGAGCAACGCCGCGUGAGUGAAGAAGGGUUUCGGCUCGUAAAGCUCUGUUGGUAGUGAAGAAAGAUAGAGGUAGUAACUGGCCUUUAUUUGGCGGUAAUUACUUAGAAAGUCACGGCUAACUACGUGCCAGCAGCCGCGGUAAUACGUAGGUGGCAAGCGUUGUCCGGAUUUAUUGGGCGUAAAGCGAGUGCAGGCGGUUCCAUAAAUCUGUUGUGAAAACCUUCGGCUCCACCGGAGAAUUG
RNAcentral lists this ribosomal RNA (296 nucleotides) under uncultured bacterium. Its description in RNAcentral is "partial 16S ribosomal RNA". It matches the Rfam family "Bacterial small subunit ribosomal RNA", at positions 335 to 623 of the family's 1533-position model. The record is from RNAcentral.